This 482-nucleotide ribosomal RNA is filed under the name uncultured bacterium. RNAcentral's name for it is "partial 16S ribosomal RNA". It matches the Rfam family "Bacterial small subunit ribosomal RNA", at positions 30 to 507 of the family's 1533-position model. The record is from RNAcentral.
AUUGAACGCUGGCGGCAUGCCUUACACAUGCAAGUCGAACGGUAACAGGUCUUCGGAUGCUGCCGAGUGGCGAACGGGUGAGUAAUACAUCGGAACGUGCCCAGACGUGGGGGAUAACGAGGCGAAAGCUUUGCUAAUACCGCAUACGAUCUAAGGAUGAAAGCAGGGGACCGCAAGGCCUUGCGCGUUUGGAGCGGCCGAUGGCAGAUUAGGUAGUUGGUGGGAUAAAAGCUUACCAAGCCGACGAUCUGUAGCUGGUCUGAGAGGACGACCAGCCACACUGGGACUGAGACACGGCCCAGACUCCUACGGGAGGCAGCAGUGGGGAAUUUUGGACAAUGGGCGAAAGCCUGAUCCAGCAAUGCCGCGUGCAGGAUGAAGGCCUUCGGGUUGUAAACUGCUUUUGUACGGAACGAAAAGGCUCUGGCUAAUACCUGGGGCACAUGACGGUACCGUAAGAAUAAGCACCGGCUAACUACGUG